Mus caroli (Ryukyu mouse) is the source of this 823-nucleotide long non-coding RNA. RefSeq lists it as uncharacterized. The record is from RefSeq and is a predicted model, not a curated record. Lineage: Eukaryota; Metazoa; Chordata; Mammalia; Rodentia; Muridae.
GCCGAGCCGGGGGCGAGCGAGGAGCGGGCGGGAGCCCACUGCGGGCAACCGCGGUCCGUCCAGCCCGAGGCGCCGGGCGGAGGCGCUUCCGGGUGCAACUGCGAGAAACGCGCCCCGGGGGGUCUGGACUUGCAACCAGCGGGGGCCGCGCUCUGCGCCUCCGCCGCCCUCCCCAGCCCCCAGGGUUCCCGAGACCCCCGAGUUCCUUGCAGAACCCUUGUGGGUGCCACCUGGGAAUUCUCCCUUCCUCCAAGUCCCGGGAUUCCGAUGCUGCAGUCUCUACUAAGCUUAACCUGUUUGUCUCAGGUGUCACGACCUAGCCUCUAGCAGAGUCAGGUGUGCGUGGAGAGAACGCACUACCACCCGGCCCGAGCUCUCCUCUGCGGAGCCUCCUAAGGUCGGAUGCAAGUCCCGUGCAGGAUGGGUGCCUGGUGGUUGCUAGAUAUACCUUACCACUGGGUAUUACAUGGUUUCUCAGAUGGAGCUUAAGGUGAGUGAGCCAGAGAAGAAAACUAAAACAGAAAAACCUUGAAGUUUCCCAGAAGUCUAGAGCUGGAGUGAUGACACAGUCUAGCUGUUCUUUUAGAGGACUGCUGCAGGCCCCAGCUCUCAGGAGGAAGCAGCUCUCAACUGCCUACAACUCCAGCUCCAGGAGGUCGGAUGCCCUUUUAUGGAUUCUGACCACCGCUCUUGCCUCUUCCUCCUCCUCACAGGGUUCCCCGAGGCCCAGAUCUGGGGCAAUGUCUUCUGCUGUCUUGAUACUUCCUUCUCAAGGCACUUAACAAUGCACCCGGCUCGGGAUUCGUUGGCGAGAACACAAAGA